GAUGAACGCUGGCGGCGUGCCUAAUACAUGCAAGUCGAGCGAACAGACGAGGAGCUUGCUUCUCUGACGUUAGCGGCGGACGGGUGAGUAACACGUGGAUAACCUACCUAUAAGACUGGGAUAACUUCGGGAAACCGGAGCUAAUACCGGAUAAUAUAUUGAACCGCAUGGUUCAAUAGUGAAAGACGGUUUUGCUGUCACUUAUAGGUGGAUCCGCGCCGCAUUAGCUAGUUGGUAAGGUAACGGCUUACCAAGGCAACGAUGCGUAGCCGACCUGAGAGGGUGAUCGGCCACACUGGAACUGAGACACGGUCCAGACUCCUACGGGAGGCAGCAGUAGGGAAUCUUCCGCAAUGGGCGAAAGCCUGACGGAGCAACGCCGCGUGAAUGAUGAAGGUCUUCGGAUCGUAAAACUCUGUUAUUAGGGAAGAACAAAUGUGUAAGUAACUAUGCACGUCUUGACGGUACCUAAUCAGAAAGCCACGGCUAACUACGUG
RNAcentral lists this ribosomal RNA (497 nucleotides) under uncultured bacterium. RNAcentral describes it as "partial 16S ribosomal RNA". It matches the Rfam family "Bacterial small subunit ribosomal RNA", at positions 28 to 507 of the family's 1533-position model. The record is from RNAcentral.